UGGUAGUUCCACGCCGUAAACGAUGAAGUACUAGGUGUCGGGGGGUCGAAUCUCGGUGCCGCAGUCAACACAUUAAGUAUUCCGCCUGGGGAGUACGGUCGCAAGACUGAAACUCAAAGGAAUUGACGGGGACCCGCACAAGCAGCGGAGCAUGUGGUUUAAUUCGAAGCAACGCGAAGAACCUUACCAAAUCUUGACAUCCUUUUGACCAUCAUUUAAUCAUGAUCUCUCUUCGGAGCAGAAGUGACAGGUGGUGCAUGGUUGUCGUCAGCUCGUGUCGUGAGAUGUUGGGUUAAGUCCCGCAACGAGCGCAACCCUUGUCUUUAGUUGUCAUCAGGUAAUGCUGGACCCUCUAAAGAGACUGCCGGUGAUAAACCGGAGGAAGGUGGGGAUGACGUCAAAUCAUCAUGCCCCUUAUGAUUUGGGCUACACACGUGCUACAAUGGUCGGUACAACAGGCAGCGAAAGGGUAACCUGGAGCGAAUCCUCUAAAGCCGAUCUCAGUUCGGAUUGUGGGCUGCAACUUGCCCACAUGAAGUUGGAGUUGCUAGUAAUCGUGAAUCAGAAUGUCGCGGUGAAUGCAUUCCCGGGUCUUGUACACACCGCCCGUCACACCAUGGAAGUUGGGGGCGCCCGAAGCCAGUGAUCCAACCGCAAGGAGGAAGCUGUCGAAGGUGAAACCAAUGACUAGGGUGAAGUCGUAACAAGGUAACCG
RNAcentral lists this ribosomal RNA (715 nucleotides) under uncultured bacterium. Its description in RNAcentral is "bacterial SSU rRNA". It matches the Rfam family "Bacterial small subunit ribosomal RNA", at positions 788 to 1502 of the family's 1533-position model. The record is from RNAcentral.